Molecule: ribosomal RNA, 465 nt
Filed under: Vreelandella stevensii
Lineage: Bacteria; Pseudomonadati; Pseudomonadota; Gammaproteobacteria; Oceanospirillales; Halomonadaceae
Description: partial 16S ribosomal RNA
Rfam family: Bacterial small subunit ribosomal RNA
Source: RNAcentral
CAUACGGGGGGCAGCAGUGGGGAAUAUUGGACAAUGGGCGAAAGCCUGAUCCAGCCAUGCCGCGUGUGUGAAGAAGGCCUUCGGGUUGUAAAGCACUUUCAGUGGGGAAGAAAGCCUUGGGGCUAAUACCCUCGAGGAAGGACAUCACCCACAGAAGAAGCACCGGCUAACUCCGUGCCAGCAGCCGCGGUAAUACGGAGGGUGCGAGCGUUAAUCGGAAUUACUGGGCGUAAAGCGCGCGUAGGCGGUCUGAUAAGCCGGUUGUGAAAGCCCCGGGCUCAACCUGGGAACGGCAUCCGGAACUGUCAGGCUAGAGUGCAGGAGAGGAAGGUAGAAUUCCCGGUGUAGCGGUGAAAUGCGUAGAGAUCGGGAGGAAUACCAGUGGCGAAGGCGGCCUUCUGGACUGACACUGACGCUGAGGUGCGAAAGCGUGGGUAGCAAACAGGAUUAGAUACCCGGGUAGUC